Eriocheir sinensis (Chinese mitten crab) is the source of this 643-nucleotide long non-coding RNA. RefSeq lists it as uncharacterized. Lineage: Eukaryota; Metazoa; Arthropoda; Malacostraca; Decapoda; Varunidae. The transcript has 5 exons. The record is from RefSeq and is a predicted model, not a curated record.
UGGACGGACCACUACGGGUGCCACUGGACGGACCACUACGGUGGCCACUGGACGGACCACUACGGGGGCCACUGGACGGACCACUACGGGGGCCACUGGACGGACCACUACGGGGGCCACUGGACGGACCACUACGGGGGCCACUGGACGGACCACUACGGGGGCCACUGGACGGGCCACGUGUGCUCCCACUGCUUCAACAUGUGGCACUCCACCGCAGGCACAGAAGCCAUGCAAAACUACCGCCAGGCUCAGGAAACCGCCCAUGGAAACCCCGACAACCUCUGCGAGAGCCUUUUGAAAUAGAUGGAGCAAGCCUCCUGAGCACCUCACCACAGAGCUGUCCAAGAUGCCUCACGUCCAAGAAGUCCCAGGUUUACAAGUGGAAGGGCCUGCUCAAGGAACUCCGCUGCUCUCUCCUGGACGGAAGGAACCAGGAGAUGGAGAGGAGAUGAAGAAGAAGAAGAAGAAGAAGAAGAAGAAGAAGAGGAAGACUUAGGAACAAAGAACCCCAACAGAGAAGAAGCAAAAGAUGAAGAAGAUGAAAGAGAAGAAGAAGAAGGAGGAAGUGAAGAAGAGAAGGAAGGAAGAAGGGAAGUCUGUCUGUCAAUAAUAAUAAUAAUAAAAUAUAUGUUGAAAUAAA